GAUGAACGCUAGCGACAGGCUUAACACAUGCAAGUCGAGGGGCAGCAUAAAAGUAGCAAUACUUUGGUGGCGACCGGCGCACGGGUGAGUAACGCGUAUGCAACCUACCUAUCAGAGGGGGAUAACCCGGCGAAAGUCGGACUAAUACCGCAUAAAACAGGGGCACCGCAUGGUGAUAUUUGUUAAAAAUUUAUUGCUGAUAGAUGGGCAUGCGUUCCAUUAGGUAGUUGGAGAGGUAACGGCUCACCAAGCCCACGAUGGAUAGGGGAACUGAGAGGUUGGUCCCCCACACUGGUACUGAGACACGGACCAGACUCCUACGGGAGGCAGCAGUGAGGAAUAUUGGUCAAUGGGCGAGAGCCUGAACCAGCCAAGUCGCGUGAAGGAAGAAGGAUCUAUGGUUCGUAAACUUCUUUUGCAGGGGAAUAAAGUGCAGGACGUGUCCUGUUUUGUAUGUACCCUGAGAAUAAGGAUCGGCUAACUCCGUGCCAGCAGCCGCGGUAAACACGG
Molecule: ribosomal RNA, 510 nt
Filed under: uncultured bacterium
Lineage: Bacteria
Description: bacterial SSU rRNA
Rfam family: Bacterial small subunit ribosomal RNA
Source: RNAcentral